GGGGGCGACCUGGUUUCGACGUGGUCGGUUCUCCGGAAGAGCUGCAAGCCGAGGUCCCCGGUUGGCCUCGUAAAACCACCGGGAAACAAGCAAGUGCGAACGAUAGAGAGCUCGCACUCGCCGCCUAACUCCGGUUAGGUAGCGCAUCGCCCCGAUCUGGGCCCGUGGAUCGGUCGGCGGUGACAACGAACGGGCUUGCCGCCAAGGGAGAGCCAAUCGCCUGAGGCGGGACUCCAAAGGAUGGCUAGCCCGUCGGUGGGCGGCCUGCGAGCCGGCUGUCGGGCGAAUCGAAAUCGCAGGACAAGCUUGUAGACGCCCUUGCCGGUGCGGCCGCGGACGCGGGUUCGAUUCCCGCCGCCUCCACCU
RNAcentral lists this transfer-messenger RNA (366 nucleotides) under Actinomycetes bacterium. Its description in RNAcentral is "Actinobacteria bacterium transfer-messenger RNA". It matches the Rfam family "transfer-messenger RNA". Rfam says of the family: Bacterial tmRNA, also known as 10Sa RNA or SsrA, is named for its dual tRNA and mRNA-like properties. Its role is to liberate the mRNA from a stalled ribosome. Lineage: Bacteria; Bacillati; Actinomycetota; Actinomycetes. The record is from RNAcentral.